RNAcentral lists this small nuclear RNA (185 nucleotides) under Crocodylus porosus (Australian saltwater crocodile). RNAcentral describes it as "U1 spliceosomal RNA (ENSCPRG00005003514.1)". Lineage: Eukaryota; Metazoa; Chordata; Crocodylia; Crocodylidae. The record is from RNAcentral.
AUACUUACCUGGCAGGGGAAACUCCGUGACCACUAAGGCAGCUUUCCAAGUCACUGGGGAUAACCAUUUUUCUGGCAAGAGGUAGUACCUGGGCAGAGGUAACAUAUAGUUAACCUCCCAUUUUCAUUUCCAGUGGGAAGAUCUUGGCUUUAUGCCCACUUUAUGGAAAUGGGAGACUCCUCCCU